Non-coding RNA from Myodes glareolus (Bank vole), 1389 nucleotides. NCBI's taxonomy places the organism in Eukaryota, Metazoa, Chordata, Mammalia, Rodentia, Cricetidae. The record is from RefSeq and is a predicted model, not a curated record.
UGUGUAUGUGUGCGUGCGCGCGUGCGCGCACCCAGGUAUGUAUGGUGGCCAGAGGUCAAGACCAUAUGUCUUCUUCAGUCUCUGUCAUCCUUAUUCUUUUGUAUAUAGUAUGUUUUGAACCCUAUUUUUUGUUAAUCCAGAUUGUCUUUAGGUAUUUAUUUGUUUGAGAUAUGAUUUCAUUAAGUAGUCCAGGAUAGCCUUAAACUCAUUCACUUCUUCUUUUCACCUCUUUUCUUCUUUUUACUUUAGUUUUUUUAAGUGUAUAUAUGUAUAUCUGAGUGUGACUUUGUAAAUGCUGAGUGCAGGGUGGGAGGAGAUCCGCAGAGAGCUCUGGGUCCUUGGGACCGGCAUUUCUUGCAGUUGUGAUCCUCCUGGCAUGGGUGCUGAAAGCUAAACUCCCAUCCUCCUCCACAAGAGAACAACUAUCGCCUUUAACAGCUGAGCCAUCUCUCCAACCCUUAUUUCUUGAGAUGAUUUCUCACUGAACCUGAAGCUCACUGAUUCAGUUAGCAUGGUUGACCAGAAAGCUCCAGAGAUCUGACUGUCUCGCCCUUCCCAGCACUGAGAUUACAGAAACAUGUUGAGCUGGUUGCUAUGAGCACUGUCGCCUUAGAAAUGAGGAAGGCAGUUCAGGGAAGCGAAGAAUGAACCCAAAACAUGGCAAUAAAGGAUGAAGCCUCCAUGGGUGUAAAUGAGACCAGGUGCUGGGAAGGAGGUGAAUGCAACACCCUGAUGGAGCCGCUGCUCGGCCGGGUGAGAGCUCAGCGCUGGGAUGUGGUAACCUGUCACCUUCAGCUUGACACUUGAAUCUGCCCAGGCAUUUUGGACCAGAGCCUGUCAUGUGAAGGUCUUCCAAUCAGGACGGAGGGGUGAUGGAGAGGCAGGAAGUGGAGCUGCUGAGACGGAGUGUGAAUUCACCAGCAUCAGUUUUACAAGGGGACUGUAAGUAGCUUUGGAAGCAGCUGAAAGCCUGGUGUGUCUCUGUUUGUGCCUAACUGGCCCCAUGGAGUCUUGCUUCUCAGCUAUGAAGGGUUGGUAAGUCCAGAGCAAAACCAGCUUUUAGUGUUGACUUACUUAGGGUGUAGAGCAGAGAGAAAUGAUAAAUAGAAUUUCUGCCUUACGGCUUGGAUCCUUUCAUGAUCACUCCCUGCCCCCAAGCCCAAGUUGGAACGUGGGAUUCUAGGAAAUGUUCUCCAUCUUGUUCAGCUCCUUUGUCUUCCUAGCGUGUUACACAAAGCGACUUCUACCCUGGAGACAUGUGCCCCAGAAGGUGUGUGGGAUGAAGGACACUCAUCUGCUCUUUGGAUUUUUUGGCUGGGUGAGGCAGGGUUUGCUUUUAUUUAAUUUGCAGUAAAAUCAAAAGUUGGUGAUGGGCCCUGGUCUUAUAUG